UACAUCAUAUAAAGCAUAAAAAGUAGGAAGCAGGAAGGUGGAAUCUGCUUCAAAAUACUGUUUAACAAGGCCUUGUACACUGUUUAAAGAUGGUAUGAUUAAUAAUAAAUGCUUGCAGCUACGUGGCAGACAAAAUCCGCCACAGCUGUAAGUCAAAGCAGGAGAGAGAGGAGGCAGAGGAGGUGAAAGGCAUCGGACAGAGACAAUGCGUCAUCAGUAAAUAUGCCGAGGACAAGAGUUCUGGAGAGCAUUAUGGACCAACAGCAAAUGGGUAUUACGACUCCCCGAAGCAGCCGAUAGCACCUGAGCCAUACACUUACAACCAAACUCAGUGUAACACCAGGAGUGGAUGACCAUAAAGAUGACAGGGGAUACAGCUUAGAGGAUGGACAGAGGGGAGGAGGAAACAGACUGACUGGAAAACAGCACAUUUUAUUGAUUUAUAUUUUUGUGAUAUUUAUUUAUUUAUUUAAGGCUAAUUUAUGAAAUAGAUGUAAAAUUUGUUUAUUGAUUUAUGUGAUAAAACAUGAAGACUAUGCUGCUGUUUGAGAUAUAAACAUCAAAGUGUAUAGAAUUUUCAAAGCCUAUGUCAUUGCUGAAGUGGUCUUUUCACAUUCAGUUGUGAUAUUAUUUACCAUGUCUGAUAACUUCCUCCCCAUAUGUAUUAAAACCCUAGCUGUUGCUCUGUCAUAAAAGAAAUAGGUCUUUAUAAGAACACAAGCCAUUCCUCUUAUUUUGGCUGCAUACCAACACUCUAGCACUCCUUAACAGUUUACCUCGUGCCAGAAACUAAAAGCUGAUGAAGUUGUGUCUCAUUUGUUAUUUCACUCUUUUCUUCUACCAACUUUGGAACCAUUGUAUGACAGUGGAGCCUUAAAGCCAGGUUAGCCGCCUACAGCAGGCUCAGCUCGAUGAUUUACGGUGUCCAUUUUGGUUGUGAGAAGACUGAUUUAUAAUUAUGAGAAAAACAUUUCAUGAAUAGAGGUCUUGUAUACAAUUUUUACCUAGUGAGGUGCCUUUUUUUAUAUGAAAGAAGGUAUUUUAAUAUUUGUCUUUGAAUUAUUGAGUUUUGAUAAAACAAACCUUUCUUAGGUGUGGCGUCCUAAGUUUCAUCCUCCGUAUUGGAACUUGCUCAGGAGUUAGUUGCUCUUGUGACUAUGCAUAUAAUGUAGAAAAUGUAACUUCAUGAUCAAGAUAUAAUACUGUUCACUUUGUGAGUUAUGCAAAUGCACUUCAGCAUAUCAGUGAAUAUAUUUUGGAUAUAGUCAUGUGAAUAUUCUCUAUCUUAGGCAACGCAACGAAGUCAUUGAGAAUUGUGUGGGAAGGUGCUAAACAGAAUUUAAAUACAUACACAUACUUAGGUUAUAUGCUGUGUUACUUGUAUUUUUCCUCUUUUUAGAGACUGUUAUAUAUAUCUCCUUGUCAUGUACAUCGUAUUCUGUGAUAUUGAAGUUCUUGUAAUAAAUAUAUAUAUUAUCAGUCACUGAA
Long non-coding RNA from Lingula anatina, 1488 nucleotides. RefSeq lists it as uncharacterized. The record is from RefSeq and is a predicted model, not a curated record. Lineage: Eukaryota; Metazoa; Brachiopoda; Lingulata; Lingulida; Lingulidae.